UCGGGGUGGCCCCGUGUCUGC
Molecule: microRNA, 21 nt
Filed under: Sus scrofa (pig)
Lineage: Eukaryota; Metazoa; Chordata; Mammalia; Artiodactyla; Suidae
Description: ssc-mir259
Source: RNAcentral